AUGACCCACCAAACACACACCUAUCAUUUAGUCAAACCCAGCCCUUGACCAUUAACAGGGGCUCUCUCAGCUCUCCUAAUAACAUCCGCCCUAGCUAUAUGACUUCACUUUAACUCUAUUACUCUUUUAACCCUGGGCCUACUAACCAAUACACUGACUAUAUAUCAAUGGUGAUGUGACAUUAUCCGAGAAAGUACAUUUCCAGGCCAUGAUACAACAACUGUUCAAAAAGGCCUCCGAUGUGGAAUAGUCAUAUUUGUUAUCUCAGAAGUAUUUGUCUUUGCUGGAUUCUUUUGAGCAUUCUACCAUUCUAGUCUAGCCCCAGCUCCAGAAUUAGGAGGACACUGAUCUCCAACAAGCAUUUCUCCCCUCAACCCCCUGGAAGUACCCCUCCUGAACACAUUUCAAUUACUUGAGCCCAUCACAGCCUAAUAGAAAAUAAUCAAAAACAAGUAAUUCAAGCACUACUUUUCACAAUUAUCUUAGGCAUUUGCUUCACCCUCCUACAAGUCUCAGAAUACUUAGAGGCUCCCUUUGCUUUUUCUGAUGGAAUUUAUGGCCCAACAUUUUUUAUAGCUACAGGCUUUUAUGGACUUCACAUCAUUAUUGGAUCAACUUUCCUUACUAUCUGCCUUCUCCGCCAAUUAAAAUACCACUUUACAUCCAGCCAUCAUUUUGGCUUUGAAGCCACCGCCUGAUAUUGACACUAUGUAGAUGUAGUAUGACUAUUCUUGUAUAUUUCUAUCUACUGAUGAGGGUCU
Molecule: long non-coding RNA, 761 nt
Filed under: Homo sapiens (human)
Lineage: Eukaryota; Metazoa; Chordata; Mammalia; Primates; Hominidae
Description: non-protein coding lnc-RAB6D-12:1
Source: RNAcentral